GGCGCGGUACUAAAGCGGUUAUAGAGAGGUCUGCAAAACCUUUUAGAUGGGUUCGACUCCCAUCCGCGCCUCCC
Molecule: transfer RNA, 74 nt
Filed under: Candidatus Cerribacteria bacterium 'Amazon FNV 2010 28 9'
Lineage: Bacteria; Candidatus Cerribacteria
Description: tRNA-Cys
Rfam family: tRNA
About the family: Transfer RNA (tRNA) molecules are approximately 80 nucleotides in length. Their secondary structure includes four short double-helical elements and three loops (D, anti-codon, and T loops).
Source: RNAcentral